CCACCUCCAAUCAAUCCUUUACCUUACCAUCAGCUCAGGAAGAAUGAAAAAAGGUCUUCAAGCAAGUCAAAUAAUCAUCCUACAAAGAAGAGUAGUUCUGCAGUUUCAGCUAAGCCCAAUGAUCACCAGAAGAGUUCGAAUAAGAACAGUUCAUUGAAGCCAACUGAUGUAGUUAGCAGGAAAAGCACUUCAGAUAUUAAAGCUGCAGAUACCAGUGGGAAGACCUUUGCCAAGGCGGUUGAUUUUGUCACCCCUCCUGGCUCCUCUAGGUAUCUCUUGGGUGACUCUGCGCUUUUUGAUGAUUAUGAUCCAGUUUGGGCAUUGGUUCCUGCAGAAGCAAAGAAGAUUCAAGCUAUAAAGCAAGAUCAAUCCAUCGUUUCCAAACCCUCUUCCUCCUCUCUCUCAGAGAAGCCUUCCACACAUCAGGUUUGCUCGUUCUCUGUUUCAUUUAUCACUAAAAUUUUUUUAUUGAAUUUUCAAUUUUGUAUAGCAUACCAUAGAAAGGUUGUUGAAUAUGAGUAUGACAAACCUGCAGUUUGCAGCUAAAUCUUCAAAAUUUUGUAAUCUUCAGAAUGUGCAAUCUGAAAUCUAUUACAAGCCAGGGUGGCUGCAAAACUUUAAAACUUUUAAUUUCCAAUUUCCAAUCGAUUUGCUGUCAG
RNAcentral lists this long non-coding RNA (659 nucleotides) under Durio zibethinus. RNAcentral describes it as "long non-coding RNA (DZIB_LNC002353)". Lineage: Eukaryota; Viridiplantae; Streptophyta; Magnoliopsida; Malvales; Malvaceae. The record is from RNAcentral.